AUGCUCGCUUCAGCAGCACAUACACUAAAAUUUUCCAAUUUAGGAUACAGAGAAGAUUAGCAUGGCCCCUGCACAAGGAUGACAUGCAAAUUUGUGAAGCAUUCCAUAUUUCU
This 113-nucleotide small nuclear RNA is filed under the name Suricata suricatta (meerkat). Lineage: Eukaryota; Metazoa; Chordata; Mammalia; Carnivora; Herpestidae. The record is from RNAcentral.